This 771-nucleotide ribosomal RNA is filed under the name uncultured Neocallimastigales. Its description in RNAcentral is "partial large subunit ribosomal RNA". It matches the Rfam family "Eukaryotic large subunit ribosomal RNA", at positions 24 to 628 of the family's 3401-position model. The record is from RNAcentral. Lineage: Eukaryota; Fungi; Neocallimastigomycota; Neocallimastigomycetes; Neocallimastigales.
UAUGUGAUCGUCUCUCGCAUAUCAAUAAGCGGAGGAAAAGAAACUAACAAGGAUUCCCUUAGUAACGGCGAGCGAACCGGGAUAAGCCCACCAUGAGAAUCGGUCGCCCUCGGUGUUCGAAUUGUAGUCUGGAGAAGCGUCCUCAGCGGCGGACCGGGCCCAAGUCCCCUGGAAAGGGGCGCCGGAGAGGGUGAGAGCCCCGUUGUGCUCGGACCCUGUCGCACCACGAGGCGCUGUCGGCGAGUCGGGUUGUUUGGGAAUGCAGCCCCAAUCGGGCGGUAAAUUCCGUCCAAGGCUAAAUAUUGGCGAGAGACCGAUAGCGAACAAGUACCGUGAGGGAAAGAUGAAAAGAACUUUGAAAAGAGAGUUAAACAGUACGUGAAAUUGUCAAAAGGGAAGCGUUUGACACCAGUGUUGUUUUUCUGAAAAUCAAUUAAAGAACUGUUUAUGCUAAGUUGUUUAGACUUUAUCAGCUAACUGUUUAGUUUUGAGCUUUUCUUUAAUGCACUUUUCAGUUAACAAGUCAACAUCAAUUUCUUUUGCUGUAAAAAAGCUUGAGGAAGGUGGCUUGAGAUUCGUCUUAAGUGUUUAUAGCCUCUUGCCUAUGCAGUCGGAGAGAUUGAGGUCUGCAGCGUAGAUCCUUCGGGGCUAAAUGCAUUUGUGCUAAGUUAUAACAUCUUAUAGACAACUUGUUGACUAUGAUUUGUCUUGUAGCUUACUCGCUUAUGUUAUUUUACCUACGCUUAGGAUGUUGAGUCGUAGAGCACGCAG